RNAcentral lists this unclassified non-coding RNA (240 nucleotides) under uncultured Aspergillus. RNAcentral describes it as "sequence contains ITS1, 5.8S rRNA gene and ITS2". The stretch from base 193 to 240 matches the Rfam family "5.8S ribosomal RNA", at positions 1 to 48 of the family's 154-position model. The record is from RNAcentral. Lineage: Eukaryota; Fungi; Ascomycota; Eurotiomycetes; Eurotiales; Aspergillaceae.
GGAUUAUCUGCGUAGGUGACCUGCGGAGGAUCAUUACCGAGUGCGGGCUGCCUCCGGGCGCCCAACCUCCCACCCGUGACUACCUAACACUGUUGCUUCGGCGGGGAGCCCUCUCGGGGGCGAGCCGCCGGGGACUACUGAACUUCAUGCCUGAGAGUGAUGCAGUCUGAGUCUGAAUAUAAAAUCAGUCAAAACUUUCAACAAUGGAUCUCUUGGUUCCGGCAUCGAUGAAGAACACAA